AGAAGUUAGAGGUAACAUCCAUUUUCUAUUUCUUCAAGACUGGACAUAUUGUUGGACGUCAUGACAAACGUUCAGACGCCAACUGGUUUGGCGAGCCCGGUGGCACAGAGAGCAACUCUUCCCCGUCGCCAUUCAAGCGUUUGUCGGAACUUAUUUGGACCCAUCGACCAUGACGCGCUGAACCGCGAGUUGAAGGCGACGCUGAGGGAAAUCUCUGAGCAAGACCAGCGUCGAUGGAAUUUCCACUUCGAGACAGACACACCAAUUCCCGGGAUUUAUGAAUGGGAAGGAAUGUCAGCGGAGUCGAUGCCUGCCUUCUACCAGGAGUCAGAAGUUGGCGCACGCAGAUUUGUUCCCAAUGAGGAGAAGAAAUGAGAUGACUAGCCCCCAGCACAAUUCUUCACUCAAUUCCCCUUGAACGCCACGCAAAGAGGGAACCGUUCGAUUAACCACGUUGACAAAUGCUACCAUCUGCCGCUUCUGCAGUUUAUAUUUUCAUCUCGGACAAAAGAUGGAGUAACCCUCCCAAAUAAGGCAACAUUUAUUUAAAAAACUAAUUCAACUAACUUGUGUUAAUUUAUUACGUGUCUGAGAUUGUUUUAAAUGAUAUCUGUGAAAGACGAUUUAUUUGCAAUUCUGCUCACUGUAUUGAUUAGUGAGCCCUCAAUGAUACUUAAGGCUAAUUUGCUACGUAGGUCAUCUGCCUCUUUUGCAUUUUUCGGUCGGACAAAAGAUGUUAACCCACAAAUGUUGGCCUAGGUUUUUUGCCGAAGUAACAAUGUCUAAUUGUAUUUAAAAUAUUUUAUUUUAUUUCAACUAACUUAUGUUUUAAUUCAACUAAGUUUUCUGCGAUUGUUUAAAUGGUAGCUGGGGAAACUUAUUAAAACAAUGUAGUUUUCA
This is a long non-coding RNA of Salmo salar (Atlantic salmon), 900 nucleotides long. RefSeq lists it as uncharacterized. The record is from RefSeq and is a predicted model, not a curated record. Lineage: Eukaryota; Metazoa; Chordata; Actinopteri; Salmoniformes; Salmonidae.